UGUCGAGAAAGCUUCUCCUAUAGUUAAGAGAAAAGAAAAGAAUGAUAUGAAAAAGAGUUUGAAAGAUUCAUGAGUGCAAAGGGUAGAGUUAUGUUCUUGUAUUGGGACUGGAGUUGGGAUUACCAUUAGAGCUUCAUUGUUAUACUCUGGGUAGAUGGGAUCUUAUCUCUGUAUGCAUAACUUGGGACUUACCUUUAGCGUUCUACUAAAGCUCAAUCAUUCUUGAGAGAUCCCCUGUUACUUAAGCCUAUUCUAUAAGGGACCAUCUUUGUCUCUUGACCUUCACCUUAGCCAAAUGAGUUCAUUAAUGAUGCAUUGCUUGAUUCACGUUCCAGAACUAAUGAAUGUUAAAGGGAUUGGUAGAUUUGAAAGCAUGUGUAGGUCGAGUAUAAGAGACGGAUUGAUUGAUAACAAGGCAUGGCUAACGUUUUUGAGUAAAAUUCAAUCAUAUCGCAUCUUAGAACUACCAACUUGGACAUUGAUUUUAUUUGCUCUACCUGAUGCUUUGGUUCUAAGUCCCCGCCUUCGAA
This 530-nucleotide small RNA is filed under the name Arabidopsis thaliana (thale cress). Its description in RNAcentral is "ATSL270030". The record is from RNAcentral. Lineage: Eukaryota; Viridiplantae; Streptophyta; Magnoliopsida; Brassicales; Brassicaceae.